CGUAGGGUGCGAGCGUUGUCCGGAAUUAUUGGGCGUAAAGGGCUCGUAGGCGGUUUGUCGCGUCGGGAGUGAAAACACCGGGCUUAACUCGGUGCUUGCUUUCGAUACGGGCAGACUUGAGGCAUGCAGGGGAGAACGGAAUUCCUGGUGUAGCGGUGAAAUGCGCAGAUAUCAGGAGGAACACCGGUGGCGAAGGCGGUUCUCUGGGCAUGUUCUGACGCUGAGGAGCGAAAGUGUGGGGAGCGAACAGGAUUAGAUACCCUGGUAGUCCACACCGUAAACGUUGGGCGCUAGGUGUGGGGCCUAUUCCAUGGGUUCCGUGCCGCAGCUAACGCAUUAAGCGCCCCGCCUGGGGAGUACGGCCGCAAGGCUA
Molecule: ribosomal RNA, 373 nt
Filed under: uncultured organism
Description: bacterial SSU rRNA
Rfam family: Bacterial small subunit ribosomal RNA
Source: RNAcentral